RNAcentral lists this ribosomal RNA (504 nucleotides) under uncultured bacterium. Its description in RNAcentral is "bacterial SSU rRNA". It matches the Rfam family "Bacterial small subunit ribosomal RNA", at positions 32 to 514 of the family's 1533-position model. The record is from RNAcentral.
AAUCAACGCUGGCGGCGUGCCUAACACAUGCAAGUCGAACGCGAAAGCCCCUUCGGGGGUAAGUAGAGUGGCGUCCGGGUGAGUAACACGUAGGUAACCUACCUCUGGGUGGGGAAUAACGUCUCGAAAGAGACGCUAAUACCGCACAAUGCAGCGGCACCUAAUGGUGAAUAGUUGUUAAAGCGGGGGACCCUUCGGGGCCUCGUGCCUGGAGAGGAGCCUGCGGCAGAUUAGCUAGUUGGAGGGUAAUGGCCUACCAAGGCGACGAUCUGUAGCUGGUCUGAGAGGACGGCCAGCCACACUGGCACUGACACACGGGCCAGACUCCUACGGGAGGCAGCAGUGGGGAAUUUUGGGCAAUGGGCGCAAGCCUGACCCAGCAACGCCGCGUGAGGGAGGGAAUCCUUCGGGAUGUAAACCUCACAAGCAAGGGAGAGCGCGAAGGGGUGAAUACCCCUUGUCCGACGGUACUUGCGUAAGCCACGGCUAACUACGUGCCAGCCG